UGCGUAGGCGGGCAGGUAAGUCAGUGGUGAAAUCCUGGAGCUUAACUCCAGAACUGCCAUUGAUACUAUCUGUCUUGAAUAUUGUGGAGGUAAGCGGAAUAUGUCAUGUAGCGGUGAAAUGCUUAGAUAUGACAUAGAACACCUAUUGCGAAGGCAGCUUACUACGCAUAUAUUGACGCUGAGGCACGAAAGCGUGGGGAUCAAACAGGAUUAGAUACCCUGGUAGUC
This 228-nucleotide ribosomal RNA is filed under the name uncultured bacterium. RNAcentral describes it as "partial 16S ribosomal RNA". It matches the Rfam family "Bacterial small subunit ribosomal RNA", at positions 568 to 795 of the family's 1533-position model. The record is from RNAcentral.